AUGGAAGUCGCAGCGAACGUAGCCACUCCGGCAAACCGGCCGCUCUCUGUCCGUGUGUCGUCAACGGAGAGUUCCACGGCAGAUGACCCCAUGAGCCCUGUCGGAAGAGUCAUGGAGGAGAUGGGUAUCUACAUCGUCCUCGUGAUGGGUCUCGGCACGCCCGUGAACCUGCCCGUCUUCCGCGCCGGCAUCCAAACAGAACUACCUCGGUUCCCGCGCUUCCGCAGCAUCCAGGUACUGGAUGGUUCCAAUAAUGGCAAGCCGCAUUGGGUGCAAACCACGGUGAACUUGGACGACCACAUCAUCCUCCCAAGACUGGAUCCUGCCGUCAGUGCUUCGGACCCAGACAAGGCCGUGGAAGACUAUGUGUCAUCCCUAUCCACGCUCCCAAUGGACAGGUCCCGCCCGCUUUGGGAGUUCCACUUCCUCGACUUUGCCACCUCCGAGGCGACGUCCACCACAGUGCUCCGACUGCACCACUCCAUCGGCGACGGCAUGUCUAUAAUGACGCUCCUCAUGGCCUCAUCGCGCAGCACGGCUGAUCGAGCUAGGCUGCCGGCCAUGCCGCCGCUGCCUAGACGAACAGGCGCGAUCUACCAGCAGCGGACACGGCCUCCACUGUCUUCGAUAGGCGAUUACCUAGCGUGGAUUUGGUCUUACUUUGUGCUGGUGUGGCACACACUCGUGGAUAUCGCGCUACUUAAUGCGACAUUGUUGUUCUUGAGAGAUCCACGCACGAUGUUCACCCGUGUGCCGGACAAAGUCAAGUCUCCCCGCCGCAAGCGCUUGGUGCACCGGAGCCUUAACCUUGAUGACGUCAAGCUCAUGAAGACUGCCAUGAACUGCACUAUCAACGACGUGCUAGUUGGCGUGACUUCAGCAGCUCUUUCAAAAUAUUACUUCAGGAAAUCUGGUGAUGCUAAAACUAAGAGAAUCCACUUGCGAUCAAUCCUCCCUGUCAACAUAAGGCCUCUCUCUAGCCGACAAACAUAUGUUACCAAGGUAGAGACAGGGAAUCAAGUUAGCAUUCUCAUAUGUCCAUUUCAUAUAGCCUUGCACGAUGAUCCCCUUGAGUAUGUUCACAAGGCAACACGGUCUAUAAACAGAAAAAAGAGCUCUUUGGAAGUCAAAUACGCACACGUGGCCAGUAAUUUUUUUGUGGAAUACUUUGGUGCCAAGAUAGGAGCUUUUUUCCUCCGCCGCUUUUCCACACGUACAAGCAUACUCGUAUCAAACGUUGUUGGGCCAGCUGAACAUAUAACGUUAUGUGGGCACCCAAUCACCUGCAUGGCAAUGAGCAUCUUUGGGCAACCUCAAGCUUUGAUCGUGCACUACCUAAAUUACGGCAGCACUAUGAAAUUAGUUCUGGCAGUUGAUGAUGCACAGUUUCCAGAUUCUCAUGAGCUUUUAGACGACUUUGUCAAGUCCGUCAAGAUCAUUAAGGACGCGUCUGGCCUCAAGACAUUAAAAACAUCUAUCCGGAUCACGUGA
Molecule: ribosomal RNA, 1491 nt
Filed under: Triticum aestivum (bread wheat)
Lineage: Eukaryota; Viridiplantae; Streptophyta; Magnoliopsida; Poales; Poaceae
Description: partial small subunit ribosomal RNA
Source: RNAcentral